This 176-nucleotide ribosomal RNA is filed under the name uncultured bacterium. RNAcentral describes it as "partial 16S rRNA". It matches the Rfam family "Bacterial small subunit ribosomal RNA", at positions 1274 to 1449 of the family's 1533-position model. The record is from RNAcentral.
CCCUAAAAGCAGUCUUAGUUCGGAUUGCACUCUGCAACUCGAGUGCAUGAAGUUGGAAUCGCUAGUAAUCGCGAAUCAGCAGGUCGCGGUGAAUACGUUCCCGGGCCUUGUACACACCGCCCGUCACACCAUGGGAGUUGGUUCUACCUGAAGGCGCUGUUCUAACCGCAAGGAGG